UACAGAGGGGGCAAGCGUUGUUCGGAAUUACUGGGCGUAAAGGGCGCGUAGGCGGCCUUCUAAGUCGAACGUGAAAUCUCCGGGCUUAACCCGGAAAGGUCAGCCGAUACUGCGGGGCUAGAGUGCAGAAGGGGGGCAACUGGAAUUCUCGGUGUAGCGGUGAAAUGCGUAGAUAUCGAGAGGAACACCUGCGGCGAAGGCGGGUUGCUGGGCUGACACUGACGCUGAGGCGCGAAAGCUAGGGGGAGCGAACGGG
Molecule: ribosomal RNA, 256 nt
Filed under: uncultured bacterium
Lineage: Bacteria
Description: partial 16S ribosomal RNA
Rfam family: Bacterial small subunit ribosomal RNA
Source: RNAcentral